RNAcentral lists this ribosomal RNA (1002 nucleotides) under uncultured bacterium. Its description in RNAcentral is "bacterial SSU rRNA". It matches the Rfam family "Bacterial small subunit ribosomal RNA", at positions 356 to 1376 of the family's 1533-position model. The record is from RNAcentral.
GGGGAAUAUUGGGCAAUGGGGGAAACCCUGACCCAGCAACGCCGCGUGAAGGAAGAAGGCCUUCGGGUUGUAAACUUCUUUUACCAGGGACGAAGGACGUGACGGUACCUGGAGAAAAAGCAACGGCUAACUACGUGCCAGCAGCCGCGGUAAUACGUAGGUUGCAAGCGUUGUCCGGAUUUACUGGGUGUAAAGGGCGUGUAGGCGGAGAUGCAAGUUGGGAGUGAAAUCCAUGGGCUCAACCCAUGAACUGCUCUCAAAACUGUAUCCCUUGAGUAUCGGAGAGGCAAGCGGAAUUCCUAGUGUAGCGGUGAAAUGCGUAGAUAUUAGGAGGAACACCAGUGGCGAAGGCGGCUUGCUGGACGACAACUGACGCUGAGGCGCGAAAGCGUGGGGAGCAAACAGGAUUAGAUACCCUGGUAGUCCACGCUGUAAACGAUGAAUACUAGGUGUGGGAGGACUGACCCCUUCCGUGCCGCAGUUAACACAAUAAGUAUUCCACCUGGGGAGUACGACCGCAAGGUUGAAACUCAAAGGAAUUGACGGGGGCCCGCACAAGCAGUGGAUUAUGUGGUUUAAUUCGACGCAACGCGAAGAACCUUACCAGGAUUUGACAUCCAACUAACGAAGUAGAGAUACAUCAGGUACCCUUCGGGGGAAGUUGAGACAGGUGGUGCAUGGUUGUCGUCAGCUCGUGUCGUGAGAUGUUGGGUUAAGUCCCGCAACGAGCGCAACCCCUAUUGUUAGUUGCUACGAAAGAGCACUCUAGCGAGACUGCCGUUGACAAAACGGAGGAAGGCGGGGACGACGUCAAAUCAUCAUGCCCCUUAUGUCCUGGGCUACACACGUAAUACAAUGGCGGUCAACAGAGGGAAGCAAAGCCGCGAGGUGGAGCAAAUCCCUAAAAGCCGUCUCAGUUCGGAUUGCAGGCUGCAACUCGCCUGCAUGAAGCUGGAAUUGCUAGUAAUCGCGGAUCAGCAUGCCGCGGUGAAUACGUUCCCG